UGAGCAACCUGCCCUUGGCUUCGGGAUAACUCCGGGAAACCGGGGCUAAUACCGGAUGUGACGCGCCCGCGCAUGGGGGUGUGUGGAAAGAUUUAUCGGCUGGGGAUGGGCCCGCGGCCUAUCAGCUAGUUGGUGUGGGUAAUGGCCCACCAAGGCGACGACGGGUAGCCGGCCUGAGAGGGUGACCGGCCACACUGGGACUGAGACACCGGCCCAGACCUCCGUACGGGAGGCA
This 235-nucleotide ribosomal RNA is filed under the name uncultured bacterium. RNAcentral describes it as "partial 16S ribosomal RNA". It matches the Rfam family "Bacterial small subunit ribosomal RNA", at positions 118 to 350 of the family's 1533-position model. The record is from RNAcentral.